GCCCCAUAAAUCCAAAACUUAAAAUCUGAAAUUUAUAAAAAUUGAAAGGGAGCUUACAACAAUAGAUAUAAACAAUUCACCAAAGUUUCAUGGACUUUGGUGAAAACCUUUUUGAGUUAUUGUCCGAAGUGUUAAAAAUCCCCCUUUUUUUAUGAAUAAAGCCCCAUAAAUCCAAAACUUAAAAUCUGAAAUUAAAAAAAACGAAAGGGAGCUUACAUCAAUAGAUAUAAACAAUUCACCAAAGUUUCAUGGACAUUGGUGAAAGCCUUUUUGAGUUAUUGUCCGAAGUGUUGAAAAUCCCCCCUUUUUUAUGAAUAAAGCCCCAUAAAUCCAAAACUUAAAAUCUGAAAUUAAAAAAAAACGAAGGGAGCUUACGUCAAUAGAUAUAAACAAUUCACUUAAGUUUCAUGGAAAUUGGUGAAAGUGUUUUUGAGUUAUUGUCCGAAGUGUGGACGACGGACGGACAGACGGACGGACGGACAGACGGACUGACGGACGGACGGACAACGGUAUACCAUAAUACGUCCCG
Molecule: long non-coding RNA, 529 nt
Filed under: Mytilus galloprovincialis (Mediterranean mussel)
Lineage: Eukaryota; Metazoa; Mollusca; Bivalvia; Mytilida; Mytilidae
Source: RNAcentral